Long non-coding RNA from Pygocentrus nattereri (red-bellied piranha), 486 nucleotides. RefSeq lists it as uncharacterized. The transcript is spliced from 5 exons. NCBI's taxonomy places the organism in Eukaryota, Metazoa, Chordata, Actinopteri, Characiformes, Serrasalmidae. The record is from RefSeq and is a predicted model, not a curated record.
GGACACUGAAGAACGUGGUGGGACAUCCAGUGAUGAGUGUUCAGACCAGAGCAGCUGUGUCUGCGUGUUGGGUCGUCGUUUCGUUGCCAGAGAAACGCGUGUCGGAAUAUUAACCUCGUAGCUCCAGUGCUGAAGUGAAGAAGCAACAUUUGGACACCGAACAUUUCUUGGUUGGUCAGCUACGUUUGUGGAAAGUUGAAAGACAAAGGACUUGACCCCUCCAGAGUCCAGACCUCAACAUCAUUGAACGAAUUUUGGAUUUCUUGGGUCGUGGGAAGUAGAAAGUGCAACCAACUUGUGAGACUGAACGUUGGAGACUGAAGAGUCUAUUGCCCAGAAAGCUUCACAGCAGUCUUACCAGUGGGGUUUACAGAAACAUAAAUCGGGAAAAACCAGCUCUGAGAAAUCCACGAUGACUGAAAUAUCUUUUUAUAUUUUUGGUAAAUUUGGCCAAAAUGCUAACGGCUUCAUUGCUUCCUGUGCCAA